This 252-nucleotide ribosomal RNA is filed under the name uncultured bacterium. Its description in RNAcentral is "partial 16S ribosomal RNA". It matches the Rfam family "Bacterial small subunit ribosomal RNA", at positions 524 to 775 of the family's 1533-position model. The record is from RNAcentral.
UACGUAGGCAGCGAGCGUUGUUCGGAAUUACUGGGCGUAAAGAGUGUGUAGGCGGUGUUCCAAGUCUGGUGUGAAAUCUCCCGGCUUAACUGGGAGGGUGCGCCGGAAACUGGAAUGCUCGAGGGUGGGAGAGGUAAGCGGAAUUCCUGGUGUAGCGGUGAAAUGCGUAGAUAUCAGGAGGAACACCUGUGGUGUAGACAGCUUACUGGACCACUUCUGACGCUGAGACACGAAAGCGUGGGUAGCAAACAG